RNAcentral lists this unclassified non-coding RNA (166 nucleotides) under soil metagenome. RNAcentral describes it as "partial internal transcribed spacer 1". The record is from RNAcentral.
ACGAGUUUUAAUUGUUAGGUUAGAGUUGAGCUAGCUGUUAAUACUAAUUAAUAUGUGCUUACUCUAAUCGAAACAAGUCCACUCCUUACCUUAACACCUUGUGAACUUAUUCAUUACAAACAUUAUUAUUUGUUAUUGGGAACGUUUGAUUAUUAAAAAGUUAAUA